RNAcentral lists this long non-coding RNA (301 nucleotides) under Homo sapiens (human). RNAcentral's name for it is "HSALNT0129277". The record is from RNAcentral. Lineage: Eukaryota; Metazoa; Chordata; Mammalia; Primates; Hominidae.
CAUGAGCUUCCUCUUGUAACAGAGCCAUGUAAUCAGACAUAGGUGACAAAAUGUUGCCAUGCCUCGAUUCAUUCAGUAGAAUAGCAGCCCAUGGGUUUUGUGCUCCUCUGCACCAGGUGCUGUGUCAGGAGAUAGGGACACAAGAUGGAGCAGAAUCCUUGCUCUCAAGAAGCUUAGAGUGGCUGCCAUAUACACCAGAGCAAGGCGGACCCCCAUGUGCCUUGGAAGCACAUGGCAGGCCUGCUGCUGCCCUAACCCUCCUGCCUGUCCCUCUGCCUGGGACAUCCUCCCCUGCUUUCUA